AUUGAACGCUGGCGGCAUGCUUUACACAUGCAAGUCGAACGGCAGCGCGGGCUUUGGCCUGGCGGCGAGUGGCGAACGGGUGAGUAAUACAUCGGAACGUGCCCAGUAGUGGGGGAUAGCUCGGCGAAAGCCGGAUUAAUACCGCAUACGACCUGAGGGUGAAAGCGGGGAUCUUCGGACCUCGCGCUAUUGGAGCGGCCGAUGGCAGAUUAGCUAGUUGGUGGGGUAAAGGCCUACCAAGGCGACGAUCUGUAGCUGGUCUGAGAGGACGACCAGCCACACUGGGACUGAGACACGGCCCAGACUCCUACGGGAGGCAGCAGUGGGGAAUUUUGGACAAUGGGCGAAAGCCUGAUCCAGCAAUGCCGCGUGUGUGAUGAAGGCCUUCGGGUUGUAAAGCACUUUUGGCGGGAACGAAAAGGACUGUGCCAAUACCACGGUUCGAUGACGGUACCCGCAGAAUAAGCACCGGCUAACUACGUG
Molecule: ribosomal RNA, 483 nt
Filed under: uncultured bacterium
Lineage: Bacteria
Description: partial 16S ribosomal RNA
Rfam family: Bacterial small subunit ribosomal RNA
Source: RNAcentral